Molecule: ribosomal RNA, 253 nt
Filed under: uncultured bacterium
Lineage: Bacteria
Description: partial 16S ribosomal RNA
Rfam family: Bacterial small subunit ribosomal RNA
Source: RNAcentral
UACGGAGGAUGCAAGCGUUAUCCGGAAUGAUUGGGCGUAAAGCGUCCGCAGGUGGCGAUGUAAGUCUGCUGUUAAAGAGUGAGGCUCAACCUCAUAAGAGCAGUGGAAACUACAUAGCUAGAGUACGUUCGGGGCAGAGGGAGUUCCUGGUGUAGCGGUGAAAUGCGUAGAGAUCAGGAAGAACACCAGUGGCGAAGGCGCUCUGCUAGGCCGUAACUGACACUGAGGGACGAAAGCUAGGGGAGCGAAUGGG